Long non-coding RNA from Gallus gallus (chicken), 1592 nucleotides. Lineage: Eukaryota; Metazoa; Chordata; Aves; Galliformes; Phasianidae. The record is from Ensembl.
UUUCUGCCUCCCUUGGGCACACUCUAAAAGGUGGUGACCUUUCUUUCCUAAAAUGUGACCACUCACUGACGCAAACAGAAAGAAAGAAUUUUACAAAGAAGAACACAUGUUUGCAGCAGUCUUUUGGCUUCAGGAUUUAACUGAAGUUUUUCAACUUGACGCAUGGAAGAAUCAAAACCAGAAGAAUGGAGAAUGUGUAACAAAAGGAGCACAGUGUUAAUGUUUAUGAAAAAGGACGGUGGGAAUCUUCUCAGCAAAGGUUUUUUUGUUCCAAUUUCUGACAUGAACUAUGAAGAAAGCUGUAUCUGCUCAAGAUCCCAUGCCGCAGAUUUAUGUAGCUGAAACUGCUGAAAACUCACUGCUAAAACAAAGAGGGGAAAAGGCUGAUUUCCAGAUUUUUAUAAGAUAAACAUCAAACAAAUUCCCAAGCGAAUGGAUUGCAAUGCCUCUAAAAACACGUGGAAACAAGGAUUACUUCUGUUCAGGAACAAGACAAGUGAAGGACAUUUUGCAGGAGCCAAAUUCCAGACAACUGAUCCGACCGAAAAACUAACCCCGGUGGUAUGUUUUGGUGAGAUAAGUUCCUCGGUCUGAUUCAUCACCCAGAGGCACAAGGGCAGUGGCACAAGGAAGGGGUGGCUGUAGUGGGAGCAAGGAAUGUCACGGUGUCUGCUUCAGCUACCCGCAAUGCUGACAGGCUGGUCCCGCUGAUUUCUUCAUCCCAGGGCAGGCUUCACUUGGACACGGGGUCUGGGAUGGACAGGGUGCUACUACAUACGUCAUUAAAGACCCAACUCCCUGGCUCUGAUCAAAUAGCAAAGAUCUCAGCAGGAAUGGAUUUGUGAACAUGAGUAUCACAGCAGGGUUCUGAUGGGACUGCGCAGGAUGGAGGAAGAAGGAUGGACAAGAUUGGACAAGCAGAUGACAGAACAGGGUUGCUCAGCCCAUGCUAUGCCAAAUGUAUUGCAGUAUUGUUUUCUUUUUUUCUCAUUAGUCAUAUUGUUUGCUGUUCAUUAAGGGAAAAGCAGCUUUCAGUGGAACUUACCUAAAAAAGCAUGUGUCUCAGGAGGAGAGCAGCAGAGCAUAGAUCAGAAUUAGGAGAACAAGGCAACUGAGGGGCAAACAGUUUUGGCAGGAAGGUUUUUGGUUGGAAGGUAAGCAGGAGACAGGGAGGGAAAAGAAGGGCACAGGAAGCAAGGAUGAGAUGGAAGGACAGAGACAAGACCUAAGGGUAUAUUCACAUCAUACUAGCUGGGUUGCUGUAAACAACAAUGUGAGUAUUCUAGCUCAGCAAUCCAUCUCAUUGUUACACCUACCUGCUUAGCAAGCUGCUAGGUGUGCUCUGUAGGUGUAACCUGAAUUGUGUUGGCCAUGCAAAGCAAAACAAAGACCUUCAGGAUGCCUCAGGAGGUGAGGGGAGAGCAAAGAAAGGCACUUAAACCUGAGGAGAAGUAAAUAGCUGGCUGAGAGAUGGAUUUUAUGGCUGGUCAACAUUUAUUAUGGAGAACAGGAGAGAGUUUGUGUGGCUCAAGACAAAACUUUUUUUCUGAUUUUUUUAAUGCAUUGGCCACCCAGAGAUCACAGCGAGAAGC